GGGCCCAUAGUCGAAUGGUAAGACGUCCCUUUGACGUGGGGAAGACUCGGCGUUCGAUUCGCCGUGGGCCCA
RNAcentral lists this transfer RNA (72 nucleotides) under uncultured archaeon. RNAcentral describes it as "tRNA-Val(gac)". It matches the Rfam family "tRNA". Rfam says of the family: Transfer RNA (tRNA) molecules are approximately 80 nucleotides in length. The record is from RNAcentral.